GCCCGGCUAGCUCAGUCGGUAGAGCAUGAGAUUCUUGAUCUUAGGGUCGUGGGUUCAAACCGCUCGCUGGGCG
Molecule: non-coding RNA, 73 nt
Organism: Schistocerca americana (American grasshopper)
Lineage: Eukaryota; Metazoa; Arthropoda; Insecta; Orthoptera; Acrididae
Source: the annotation of a RefSeq genome assembly